GCAGGCGGUGCUGGUUACCGACAGGCUGCCAGCGUCAACCAGGGUGCAGAAGGAACGAGGGCAGGGCUCGGAAAGGGGCUCCUGGGGGGACGCCAAAGCGCGGGAAAUACAGCCCUGAGCGCCAAGGAGCGCUGCUUUCACUUUCGUUUGCUCUGGGACAUCCGAGGAGCUGAGAAGCGGUUUAAAGAAACAAUGUAUGUUUGAGGUGUAACAUCAGGUUAUUUUUUCCUGAUGUGGGAACUCAGUGCAAUAAACUUUCCUCUGAGGACAGCUUUCAUUGCAUCCCACAGAUUCCGGACACAACACAGACCCCAAGGCCAACCAAGGAAAGGCAGGCUAGCAGAAUGGGACUGAGCCUGGAGAACGGUCUUGCUGGACAGACACAAGCACCGGUCCUUCACGGCUCUCCAUCAGCCCAGCCGUUCAUUUCUUCCACUCGUGGGUUACUGUCCGCUUCCUACCGGGACUCACAUCACUUCAGAAGAUGCACAGGAUGCGUCUAAGCUUAUUCCAAGCCCCUUUUUCCCAUUAAAUGAGGCUACUUGCUGCUGA
Long non-coding RNA from Cavia porcellus (domestic guinea pig), 552 nucleotides. RefSeq lists it as uncharacterized. Lineage: Eukaryota; Metazoa; Chordata; Mammalia; Rodentia; Caviidae. The transcript is spliced from 3 exons. The record is from RefSeq and is a predicted model, not a curated record.